RNAcentral lists this ribosomal RNA (439 nucleotides) under uncultured bacterium. RNAcentral's name for it is "partial 16S ribosomal RNA". It matches the Rfam family "Bacterial small subunit ribosomal RNA", at positions 339 to 795 of the family's 1533-position model. The record is from RNAcentral.
CUACGGGCUGCUCCAGUGGGGAAUUUUGCGCAAUGGGGGAAACCCUGACGCAGCAAUACCGCGUGAGUGAAGAAGGCCUUUGGGUCGUAAAGCUCUUUUCUUGGGGAAGAUAGUGACGGUACCCAAGGAAUAAGCACCGGCUAACUCCGUGCCAGGAGCCGCGGUAAUACGGAGGGUGCAAGCGUUGUUCGGAUUUACUGGGCGUAAAGGGCACGUAGGCGGCACAGCAAGUUAAGGGUGAAAUCCCGGGGCUCAACUCCGGAACUGCUCUUAAAACUGCUGAGCUAGAGAUAGUCAGAGGCGGGUGGAAUUCCAGGUGUAGAGGUGAAAUUCGAAGAUAUCUGGAGGAACACCGGUGGCGAAGGCGGCCCGCUGGGGCUAUUCUGACGCUAAGGUGCGAAAGCGUGGGGAGCAAACGGGAUUAGAUACCCGAGUAGUC